UACGAGGGGGGCUAGCGUUGUUCGGAAUCACUGGGCGUAAAGGGCGCGUAGGCGGCUUUAUAAGUCGGGGGUGAAAGCCUGUGGCUCAACCACAGAAUUGCCUUCGAUACUGUAGAGCUUGAGACCGGAAGAGGUAAGUGGAACUGCGAGUGUAAAGGUGAAAUUCGUAGAUAUUCGCAAGAACACCAGUGGCGAAGGCGGCUUACUGGUCCGGUUCUGACGCUGAGGCGCGAAAGCGUGGGGAGCAAACAGG
Molecule: ribosomal RNA, 253 nt
Filed under: uncultured bacterium
Lineage: Bacteria
Description: partial 16S ribosomal RNA
Rfam family: Bacterial small subunit ribosomal RNA
Source: RNAcentral